This 1197-nucleotide long non-coding RNA is filed under the name Rattus norvegicus (Norway rat). RNAcentral's name for it is "long non-coding RNA NONRATT016719". Lineage: Eukaryota; Metazoa; Chordata; Mammalia; Rodentia; Muridae. The record is from RNAcentral.
GGAAAAACAAAAAUCAAAAGCGGGAUCCUUCAAAGUCUUUGUGCUCCCAGCAUUUUUCCAGCCCGAGUCGAAGUGGGAACUGACAGUGUAAAAGGAAAUGUGAAGUUGCCGAAAGCCACAGCACACAAUUGAAGACGAUAAAUUUUUAUUUGAUUUCAUGAACCCUCAUAGCCUACUCUUUUUAAAGAAUGUAAAUUGCUCCCCAAGGCUGGUAGGAUGCAGGAUCCUAUUAGAGGACACAGGAUUCCAUUACCUUAAAUGUUUAUAGAUUUUUUUCCCCUAUAACUUUCCACCUAAGUUAUUAAAAUUCUAACAUUAACUGUGAAAGAACUCAAUGAAGGGUGUAGGUCUGAGAUUGCUGUCUUCCCCCCGGUGAUUUUCAUUAUCUGCAAAAGUAGACAACUUUUGUUCAGGGAAAAAAAAAAGAGCAGUCCUUAAUAGUACUCGAAUUGAAUGUUCAAGAAGUCUGCACCGCGGGAGUUAGAAUAGAUUUUAAGGUUAUAAGGCUCACCUUAGAUUAUCCAUGGAGUUAAAAAUGUUUUGGCUGAAGUUCACAAAGUAAGCCCAGAGAAAAUGCUUAAGUUGUCCCCACUUGAAUUUCUCUGAGUGUGUGUUGCUGUGUUUGCACGCUGGCAGUCAUGACAUCCAUGUGACCAGUGACAGGUCAUUGUGUGUCUCGUUUGUACAAGUGUGUAUGGCCGAGCCUGUGGCUCUCUACAUGUCUUCCUCAGGGCUGGAUCCUUGUCUGUACUCUCCUGUAUCCCUCAUCCUGGCUUCUCCUUGAGGAGCUGUCUGUGGUGUCUGUUGUCAGCUUGCAGGCACGCCCAUUCAUUUCUUUCUUGCAUAGAGAUCUCUAUGACCUACAAACAGUGAGGAACAAGACAAAAAAGGGCAAACUCUAUGGGGGGGGCGGGGUUACUAUUCAAACUUCACUGCCCUGGAAGCCCCUGUGCGUUUAGUUAAUGUAACUUUAAAAAGAAACAAACAAUGAUUGGUUGUUGCAACUGACAGGGAGAUCUGCAUUUGAAGAGUCCCACAGCAGAGACCCUGCUAUUAUAACCUAUUUCUGGGUAAUGUUUGCUCCUUGCGGAUCUUGUCACACCAGAAAAACAAAUAAAUAAAUCACUACUGUGAACUUACUAGUAUGUAACCUUAUCAUAUCCCAUUAUAAAUAAAACAUGCCUCGUUUUUAAGCCC